Molecule: ribosomal RNA, 470 nt
Filed under: uncultured bacterium
Lineage: Bacteria
Description: partial 16S ribosomal RNA
Rfam family: Bacterial small subunit ribosomal RNA
Source: RNAcentral
GACGAACGCUGGCGGCGUGCUUAACACAUGCAAGUCGAACGCCGAAGCACUAGCUUGUUGGUGUGGAUGAGUGGCGAACGGGUGAGUAAUACGUGAGUAACCUGCCCUUGACUCUGGGAUAAGCUCGGGAAACUGGGCCUAAUACUGGAUCCUACAUGUCAUCGCGUGGUGGUCUGUGGAAAUUGUUUACUGGUCCUGGAUGGGCUCACGGUCUAUCAGCUUGUUGUUGAGGUAAUGGCUGACCAAGGCGACGACGGGUAGCCGGCCUGUGAGGGUGACAGGCCACACUGGGACUGAGACGCGGCACAGACUGCUACGGGAGGCAGCAGGGGGGAAGAUUGCACAAUGGGCGAAGGCCUGGUGCAGCGACGCUGCGUGAGGGAUGACGGCUUUCGGGUUGUAGAACACUUUCAGCAGGGAAGAAGCCAGUAGUGACGGUACCUGAAGAAGAAGCGCCGGCUAACUACGUG